GAAAAUGAAGAAUUCCUUAAGUUCUCACUUGAAAAUUUGAUUUGUAAGGGAACUGGAAGUUUUCCUGCUGAGUGCUCCAUGUGUAAGAGAGUUGACCUUCUGUUUUCUGAAGUUACUUUAAGGAUCAUGUUUCAGAAGGAAAACAAGCCUGGCAUAGAAACCACUUCAGCGCCUGUUUAUCCAGCACGCAGGGUGAGGACACUAUUAGGCGUGAAAAAACAAUUUCAUGGGUAUUAGGCUAUAGUUCCAGGACUCACCUUCAAGGACUGAGGGUCUUAGGCUGCUGCUAUGAGGAUGUCAAUGCCAGUGUCCCUGAGGAAGAGGCCAGAUUGAAUAUUGCUGAAUUUGUUUUCUGAAUAAAUAUUUAGAAACAGCCACCCUUCACUUUUCAUCUUUUUGCCUGCACACCUGAUUAAACAUUUAUAAAAAUAACUGCAAAGUGAAAUUAUCACCACAAUGAGGACCAGAUGCAAUUGUACCUCCUGGAGAAGAGAGUGAAGUGGAUGUGGAAGAAAAGCAUGUAGGGAUGAUCAGGAACGGAGACACGUGGGGGCGAUGAGAGAUGGGUCUCAGCAGAAGACUGGGGAGGUCAUUCUGGAACCAUUCCUGUCUCUCGACCAGGACUGGCAGGCUCAGGCUGAGCCAAGAACUCAUAAAUACCUCUAGUAAGUGAGUUAAUCAUUUAAUAAAUACGGAAACUAUGCAUGGGCCUCAAGGUUAAAGGUGAAUGGGCAGGGUUUCAAAAACAAUUUCAUUAAGUAGACAAUAAUAGACUACAACUGAUGGCUUGUGUUCCCACAUUAAAACAAAAAACUCUUUCAAAUGAACUAAUGCACCCUGGGUUCAAAAUAAUAAAAAGAUAUUAGAAGACUGAGAAAAACUGAAAUAUUAAGAUAUAAGUAAAAGAACCAUAUGAUAUGUAGCAUAUAGCAGAUAUUGGAAAGCUACUUGUGUAUAUAUUAAUCUUGCUGAAUAGAGAUAGUGGUUCUAUGAGGUCAGGGCCUUGUCUUCAUCUUUCUGUUCCUCACAGCAUGUGUGAUUAAGUUGAAUUCAAUACACGGGAAUUCAGUUCAAUUCCAUGUAACACUUGCAUUGUGGUUAUGCAUUGUGUAAUUCAGAAAAAAAUCAAUAAAAUUGUCUAUAGUAUCAA
RNAcentral lists this long non-coding RNA (1150 nucleotides) under Homo sapiens (human). RNAcentral describes it as "HSALNT0319689". Lineage: Eukaryota; Metazoa; Chordata; Mammalia; Primates; Hominidae. The record is from RNAcentral.